ACGGCUCAGUAACACGUAGUCAACCUACCCUAUGGACGGGGAUAACCUCGGGAAACUGAGAAUAAUACCCGAUAGAACAUUAUACCUGGAAUGGUUUAUGUUUCAAAUAAUUUAUUGCCGUAGGAUGGGACUGCGGCCUAUCAGUUUGUUGGUGAGGUAAUGGCCCACCAAGACUAUUACAGGUACGGGCUCUGAGAGGAGUAGCCCGGAGAUGGGUACUGAGACACGGACCCAGGCCCUAUGGGGCGCAGCAGGCGAGAAAACUUUGCAAUGUGCGAAAGCACGACAAGGUUAAUCCGAGUGGUUUCUGCUAAAGGAACCUUUUGUUAGUCAUAGAACCACUAAUGAAUAAGGGGUGGGCAAGUUCUGGUGUCAGCCGCCGCGGUAAAACCAGCACCUCAAGUGGUCAGGAUGAUUAUUGGGCCUAAAGCAUCCGUAGCCUGCUUUGUUAGUUUUCGGUUAAAUCCAUACGCUCAACGUAUGGGCUGCCGGGAAUACUGCAAAGCUAGGGAGUGGGAGAGGUAGACGGUACUCGGUAGGAAGGGGUAAAAUCCUUUGAUCUAUUGAUGACCACCUGUGGCGAAGGCGGUCUACCAGAACACGUCCGACGGUGAGGGAUGAAAGCUGGGGGAGCAAACCGGAUUAGAUACCCGGGUAGUCCCAGCUGUAAACUAUGCAAACUCGGUGAUGCAUUGGCUUGAUGCCAAUGCAGUGCCGCAGGGAAGCCGUUAAGUUUGCCGCCUGGGAAGUACGUACGCAAGUAUGAAACUUAAAGGAAUUGGCGGGGGAGCACCACAAGGGGUGAAGCCUGCGGUUCAAUUGGAGUCAACGCCGGG
RNAcentral lists this ribosomal RNA (836 nucleotides) under uncultured archaeon. RNAcentral describes it as "bacterial SSU rRNA". It matches the Rfam family "Archaeal small subunit ribosomal RNA", at positions 85 to 922 of the family's 1478-position model. The record is from RNAcentral.